AACGUAGGUUCCGAGCGUUAUCCGGAUUUACUGGGCGUAAAGCGCGUUUAGGCGGUUUGGCAAGUCGGGCAUGAAAUCUCUCGGCUCAACCGGGAGAGGUUGUCCGAUACUUCCAGACUUGAGGGCAGUAGAGGGUGGUGGAAUUCCGGGUGUAGUGGUGAAAUGCGUAGAUAUCCGGAGGAACACCGGUGGCGAAGGCGGCUUCCUGGACCGACACUGACGCUGAGGCGCGAAAGCUAGGGGAGCAAACGGG
RNAcentral lists this ribosomal RNA (253 nucleotides) under uncultured bacterium. RNAcentral's name for it is "partial 16S ribosomal RNA". It matches the Rfam family "Bacterial small subunit ribosomal RNA", at positions 524 to 776 of the family's 1533-position model. The record is from RNAcentral.